This is a long non-coding RNA of Lagenorhynchus albirostris (white-beaked dolphin), 468 nucleotides long. RefSeq lists it as uncharacterized. The transcript is spliced from 2 exons. NCBI's taxonomy places the organism in Eukaryota, Metazoa, Chordata, Mammalia, Artiodactyla, Delphinidae. The record is from RefSeq and is a predicted model, not a curated record.
CAUCCUUUGCUCCGAUCUUCAUUUUAGACUCAGAGAACAGAGCAUGGAGGCAUGGGCGGGGGUUGUUGUUGGUGGAAGUUAAUCUAAAGAAGAACAUCAACAAGAAGAAAAUUUGACUUAUAGAAAAGUAGCCACAACACAGUUACUUAGGAAAUAGUGGUAGCCAGAUAAAUACCUACAAUUCAAUCCUGUCAUCUGAGUUUGAGGCAGUCUUUUCCAGCCACAUCACAAUGACAAUUAUGAAGACUAGGGAACAUCACAGAAAAUAUUUAUGAUAAAGUCAGUGAAAAAGAAGAGCACAAAACUGGGAGUUCACUGUGGAUGGGAUGAGAUGAAGAUUUGUCUACAAAGAGCUAAACAAUGGAAAGUGAGAAACGAACAGUUCUUUGAGAGAGAUAUGACCAUUAUUGAUUUGGUUUUUUGUUUGUUUACUUUAAUGUUGUUAUAAUAAAGAUUUCUGUUCCCAAA